GCUUACACAUGCAAGUCGAACGAUGAACCGCUUUCGGGCGGGGAUUAGUGGCGAACGGGUGAGUAACACGUGGGCAAUCUGCCCUGCACUCUGGGACAAGCCCUGGAAACGGGGUCUAAUACCGGAUAUGACUGUCCGCCGCAUGGUGGAUGGUGUAAAGCUCCGGCGGUGCAGGAUGAGCCCGCGGCCUAUCAGCUUGUUGGUGAGGUAGUGGCUCACCAAGGCGACGACGGGUAGCCGGCCUGAGAGGGCGACCGGCCACACUGGGACUGAGACACGGCCCAGACUCCUACGGGAGGCAGCAGUGGGGAAUAUUGCACAAUGGGCGAAAGCCUGAUGCAGCGACGCCGCGUGAGGGAUGACGGCCUUCGGGUUGUAAACCUCUUUCAGCAGGGAAGAAGCGAGAGUGACGGUACCUGCAGAAGAAGCGCCGGCUAACUACGUGCCAGCAGCCGCGGUAAUACGUAGGGCGCAAGCGUUGUCCGGAAUUAUUGGGCGUAAAGAGCUCGUAGGCGGCUUGUCACGUCGGUUGUGAAAGCCCGGGGCUUAACCCCGGGUCUGCAGUCGAUACGGGCAGGCUAGAGUUCGGUAGGGGAGAUCGGAAUUCCUGGUGUAGCGGUGAAAUGCGCAGAUAUCAGGAGGAACACCGGUGGCGAAGGCGGAUCUCUGGGCCGAUACUGACGCUGAGGAGCGAAAGCGUGGGGAGCGAACAGGAUUAGAUACCCUGGUAGUCCACGCCGUAAACGGUGGGCACUAGGUGUGGGCAACAUUCCACGUUGUCCGUGCCGCAGCUAACGCAUUAAGUG
This 806-nucleotide ribosomal RNA is filed under the name Streptomyces violascens. Its description in RNAcentral is "bacterial SSU rRNA". It matches the Rfam family "Bacterial small subunit ribosomal RNA", at positions 46 to 866 of the family's 1533-position model. Lineage: Bacteria; Bacillati; Actinomycetota; Actinomycetes; Kitasatosporales; Streptomycetaceae. The record is from RNAcentral.